ACUCCUACGGGAGGCAGCAGUGAGGAAUAUUGGUCAAUGGAGGCAACUCUGAACCAGCCAUGCCGCGUGCAGGAAGACAGCCUUAUGGGUUGUAAACUGUCUUUUUUAUGGGAAGAAACCCCUGGACGUGUCCGGGGCUGACGGUACCAUAAGAAUAAGGACCGGCUAACUCCGUGCCAGCAGCCGCGGUAAUACGGAGGGUCCAAGCGUUAUCCGGAUUCAUUGGGUUUAAAGGGUGCGUAGCGGGGACUUAAGUCAGUGGUGAAAGCCUGCAGCUUAACUGUAGAAUUGCCAUUGAAACUGAGACUCUUGAGUAUAGAUGGAGUGGCGGAAUACGGCAUGUAGCGGUGAAAUGCAUAGAUAUGCCGUAG
Molecule: ribosomal RNA, 371 nt
Filed under: uncultured bacterium
Lineage: Bacteria
Description: bacterial SSU rRNA
Rfam family: Bacterial small subunit ribosomal RNA
Source: RNAcentral